CGCUAACAAUAAAAAGAAAAGUCAGACAGUUGAAAAAUCUGAUAAACUCCAAGCACACACUUUGAAGCAGCAACCAAGCUACAUCGAGAAGUAUUGAAGACUUUAGUAGCUCGUAUAUCCAUAAGCUGAUAUUGUAUUGCUGCAAGCGGUGAUAACUUGAGCUUGUACUAAGCUCCAUUAUGCGAGUGCCCAUUUUAUAUCCACCUUUUAGUAUUUAAACAUAUUACACUAUUUCCACCUCGGUUUCUUUAUUUAAUGUCACACUAAGAAUUAGAGAGUCAAGAAACAGAAGGUUCCAAAAUCUUUCAGCAAUAUUAGUGUGCAUCUAUGUCACUAGACAGUGUUAGUUUUUCUAUAGGCAGAACCUGGUACUCAUUGGCAUUUGUGGAUAUAGAAGCACACCUUAUUUCAGGGUUUGCAUCCUCUUCAGACAUUAUGCAGCACAUCUAUUUAACCCUCCUGAACAGGG
Non-coding RNA from Pelobates cultripes (western spadefoot toad), 469 nucleotides. Lineage: Eukaryota; Metazoa; Chordata; Amphibia; Anura; Pelobatidae. The record is from the annotation of a GenBank genome assembly.